RNAcentral lists this ribosomal RNA (464 nucleotides) under Gonepteryx rhamni (common brimstone butterfly). Its description in RNAcentral is "partial 16S ribosomal RNA". The record is from RNAcentral. Lineage: Eukaryota; Metazoa; Arthropoda; Insecta; Lepidoptera; Pieridae.
AAUCUGCCCACUGAAGUAAAUUUAAAGGGCUGCAGUAUAUUGACUGUACAAAGGUAGCAUAAUCAAUAGUCUUUUAAUUGAAGACUGGUAUGAAUGAUUUGAUGAAAUAUAAACUGUCUCUUUUUUAAAAGUAGAAUUUAAUUUUUUAGUUAAAAAGCUAAAAUAAUUAUAAAAGACGAGAAGACCCUAUAGAGUUUAAUAAUUUUAUAUUUUUAAAUAAUUUAUAAAUUUUAUAAUUUAUAUAUAUAAAAUUAUUUUGUUGGGGUGAUAUAAAAAUUAAAAUAACUUUUUUUAAAAAUUAACAUUAAUAUAUGAAUAUAUGAUCCAUAAUUUAUGAUUAAAAGAAUAAAUUACCUUAGGGAUAACAGCGUAAUUUUUUUUUUUAGUUCUUAUAAAAAAAAGAGUUUGCGACCUCGAUGUUGGAUUAAGAUAAAAUUUAAAUGCAAAAGUUUAAAAUUUUUGAU